GCGAGUGAAGCGGCAAAAGCUCAAAUUUGAAAUCUGGCUCUUUCAGAGUCCGAGUUGUAAUUUGAAGAAGGUAUCUUUGGGUCUGGCUCUUGUCUAUGUUUCUUGGAACAGAACGUCACAGAGGGUGAGAAUCCCGUGCGAUGAGAUGAUCCAGGCCUAUGUAAAGUUCCUUCGAAGAGUCGAGUUGUUUGGGAAUGCAGCUCUAAGUGGGUGGUAAAUUCCAUCUAAAGCUAAAUAUUGGCGAGAGACCGAUAGCGAACAAGUACAGUGAUGGAAAGAUGAAAAGAACUUUGAAAAGAGAGUGAAAAAGUACGUGAAAUUGUUGAAAGGGAAGGGCUUGAGAUCAGACUUGGUAUUUUGUAUGUUACUUCUUCGGGGGUGGCCUCUACAGUUUAUCGGGCCAGCAUCAGUUUGGGCGGUAGGAGAAUUGCGUUGGAAUGUGGCACGGCUUCGGUUGUGUGUUAUAGCCUUCGUCGAUACUGCCAGCCUAGACUGAGGACUGCGGUUUAUACCUAGGAUGUUGGCAUAAUGAUCUUAAGUCGCCCGUCUUG
RNAcentral lists this ribosomal RNA (551 nucleotides) under Candida tropicalis. Its description in RNAcentral is "eukaryotic LSU rRNA". It matches the Rfam family "Eukaryotic large subunit ribosomal RNA", at positions 89 to 656 of the family's 3401-position model. Lineage: Eukaryota; Fungi; Ascomycota; Pichiomycetes; Serinales; Debaryomycetaceae. The record is from RNAcentral.